CCAGUAGGGAAUCUUAGACAAUGGGGGCAACCCUGAUCUAGCCAUGCCGCGUGUGUGAUGAAGGCCCUAGGGUCGUAAAGCACUUUCGCCAGAGAUGAUAAUGACAGUAUCUGGUAAAGAAACCCCGGCUAACUCCGUGCCAGCAGCCGCGGUAAUACGGAGGGGGUUAGCGUUGUUCGGAAUUACUGGGCGUAAAGCGCACGUAGGCGGAUUAGUAAGUUAGAGGUGAAAUCCCAGGGCUCAACCCUGGAACUGCCUUUAAUACUGCUAGUCUUGAGUUCGAGAGAGGUAAGUGGAAUUCCGAGUGUAGAGGUGAAAUUCGUAGAUAUUCGGAGGAACACCAGUGGCGAAGGCGGCUUACUGGCUCGAUACUGACGCUGAGGUGCGAAAGUGUGGGGAGCAAACAGGAUUAGAUACCCUGGUAGUCCACACCGUAAACGAUGAAUGCCAGACGUCAGCAAGUAUACUUGUUGGUGUCACACCUAACGGAUUAAGCAUUCCGCCUGGGGAGUACGGUCGCAAGAUUAAACCA
Molecule: ribosomal RNA, 532 nt
Filed under: uncultured Alphaproteobacteria bacterium
Lineage: Bacteria; Pseudomonadati; Pseudomonadota; Alphaproteobacteria
Description: bacterial SSU rRNA
Rfam family: Bacterial small subunit ribosomal RNA
Source: RNAcentral